This 1106-nucleotide long non-coding RNA is filed under the name Olea europaea (common olive). RNAcentral describes it as "long non-coding RNA (OEUR_LNC013420)". Lineage: Eukaryota; Viridiplantae; Streptophyta; Magnoliopsida; Lamiales; Oleaceae. The record is from RNAcentral.
AAUCAAAGUACCAUAUUUUGUAUAACGUGAACUGGCGUGACAUCAUCAUCUCAUAGGAUAAGAUUACCCUCAAGUAAUUUCACUUAUAUAAAGUUGAUAAAAACUCAUUAACCUCAUGAUUUUAUAUAUUUUGUUAUAAUUUAUACAACUUGUGAUAUAAGUUUUUUUAUAGGUACCGUAUUGUCAUAUGUUAACAUAAUCUUGAUAUAUGGUGCCCAACUUGCAAGAAUGUGUGCAUAGGGCAUAAGCACUAUGCUUUCACAUAUUCAAAGAAUAUAGUUGGCAAUUUUCUUCCAAGUUGUACACGCCAAAUCCAAAUUAAUAUCUACAGCCUAGCAAUAUAAUGAUGACAUUCUUGAUGUAGACAGCGUUAAUUUAGAAGUCAAGAAAUUUAUCAAAAUGACGCAUUUUCUUGUUAUGACUUAUGAUAGGGACGUCAAAAUGUGUUCAUCACUCCGAACCUAGAAAAACCCACCAUUCAAUUGGAGAAGAGCAUGAUCUUCGUCGACCGCGUGAGCCUUGUCGACCUUCCCUAUUUUUAAGAAGAGAAGAAAGGAAUGAACAAUGACCAACACUUUGACUUUAUUUUAACUCAUUAGAUUCGAUAGCAGGUUUAUUAAUUGCACAUAAUAUCUCGAAUGAGAAGUUAAAAAAUCGCAUUCGUGGAUUUAAACCUCAAGUGAUGGUUGGUUAGAUGGUACUUCUCUCUCCUUAAUGGUCAAGUCUUCACAUUUUUACAUUCAAAUAGUAGUUGGCUUCAUAAACUUAUUUACAUCUUCCAUGAGACCCCAAUGGGACACCAAAAUCUUCCCUUUUUAAUCAGUUAUAUAUUGUGAGAUUCCAAAAGUUCAAUGCAUAGAUGCCGUGCAGUGGCCACGCCCAAUUAUUCCAAUAUUUAUAAAUGGAUUUUGGCAUUUUUCAAAUUUUUACAGUGCAUCAGAAUCUCAAUCUCUCCUGCAACUGUUCAGACACAACAAAAUAUCAUCGUCCCAAUAAAUUACGAGAAGACAAAAUUUAUGGGGUAUAUAUGACAAAUAUUGGAUUAUAAUAUCAUGAUUUUUCUUAUGGUUUUUGCAAAUUUGAUCUAUUCCUCCAAAAUAUAUAAC